Molecule: non-coding RNA, 2301 nt
Organism: Misgurnus anguillicaudatus (oriental weatherfish)
Lineage: Eukaryota; Metazoa; Chordata; Actinopteri; Cypriniformes; Cobitidae
Source: RefSeq, a predicted model, not a curated record
CUCAGCCUUGGACUUCUGACAAUAUAAAGGAUUAAGGAAACAGCACAAAGUUAUCAUGUACAUCGAACUUGGAAAAUGACCGAUGAUGUCUGUUAUGUAACUUUAUAAUGUUAGCUGAUAUUAUGAAUACAGAGAUCAUGACAAGAACAGAUAUCUUCCAGUUAAGUCAUUAUUGCAAUUCAAAACAUAUCAAAUAUUAACUUAAAGUUUUUCUUUAUAUUUUAUUUCAACAUGUGGGGUAAACAAGUAAAUUGUUUUCAAAUGCUCAAUGCAUUGAUAAACUUUGAAUGCAUGACACAUGAUUGCCAAAAAAUACAACCUAAAAAUAUUACCUGCUAUAUUUACUAAUGUGCUAAUGUACACACUAUGUGUUCUUUUUUGAUAUGUCUUAAAGUGGCGAAUUUCUUUCAGUCAAAACAGACAUUAUUUUGUCCAAACGACAACAGAAAUAUAUUUUCUUCACAGCUACGUAUAAUGUCAUGCAAUACAUGAAUAGCCUAUAUUAGAACAUGUUUUCAACGUUACAACCAAAUAUACAGUCAGAAUAAAUAUAUCAUUUAUAAUAAUUUCUAGACCAAAACUAACUAGAAAUAUAUUGACCUGCAAUCUUCGUAAGGUGACUGCAGUAAUCUCUGAAUGCCGUAUGAUUGGCUAACAAUGCGCAUGCGUGAUGAUCCAUGUUGUCAAACGUCUUUUCCACAGAUUGAGCACUGAGCAGGCGGGAGCGUCGAGAACUGAGGAGGACUUGUUAACAAUCAUUUACUGCUGUGCUGAAACACAUUUGUCAUGUGGAUUAAAGUCUAUGGUUUACUUUAAUAGUGUUUAUUUUGGUAAAUCAUGCGAGCAGCAUUUUUUUUUUUUUUUUUGCAUCACGGAAGACAAGAAAGUGAUUCGGGGUAACGGCGACAUUUCAAAUUUAACCUGGUUUUAAGUGGAAGAAAGGAAUGCUUGCUAAGCACAAUGGGAUCUCUCUGAUGAACUUUCAAGUGUUGCAGAGGAACGUAAGGAGAUCAGGCAGGCCAAAAUGUCAUUCUCAAGGUUUUCCCUGACAGCCAAGAAGCUCGGACCCCUCUUAAACCUGAGAGAAAAGAAGCGCACCUGUUUGGCUGCCCAGGGGCUGAACGGAGGAUGACUGUAUAUCAGCAGCCGGGGAUGCAGUCGUAUCCCCGCUGAAGGCUGGAGGCUGUCUAUUCCUUCAGACAGACAGCGGUAAAUAAGGUCUAAGUCUCAUUAUCCCAGCACCAGGACUCGACAGCUGCAUUCAUCCAAAAUGCAUUUCUACCUAAAGGUUAAGAGUAGUUAUGAGGACAGUAAUGUAUUAUUAAAAUACCUUUCGGACUGAAGUACCUUUUGAUAUAUUUUCCCAGGUAAUGAAAGCAGCGUUCGGAGGGGGGAAAUGUAGUAAUUUGCUGUCCCAUUUUGUCAGCUGCUUUAUUCUGUCUCUCUCUCUCUUCCUCUCCUUCUCCAUCUUUACCUGCCUGUCAUCUCAGGGGUGAAGGGGGGAUAGUAAACCGGCCUGUGAAAGGCAAAAACGUAUCUUACAUUACCAAGCUUUCAUUUAUGAGAAAAAACUGCAAAGCAUUCAGAGCACGAGGAUGUCUUUCAAUUUCUCUCUCUCUCUCUCUCUCUGAUGUUGCUAGGGCAGUGAUUGGGUGAGGAAAAUCGCUGUUUGGUAUCUGAUCCUGGCAUGAUAAGGGGUGGCAGAAGGUUUUCAGGUAUUCAACGGGGAACGGCGGAAAGAUGGUUUAUGUCUCAGCUCUUUUAUCCAGGAGAAAAAAAGAGAAGAAUAGCAGGAGAGAUGCAGAGAUUUUCGUUGUGAGGGAAGAGAGACGCUUUAGAGUAGUCGGUACUCAGAGCUCUAUUAAAAGCAUCAGCCUUGUUAAAACCAGUCAAAAGACAGGAAAUCAGGCAGUGAAAUGAAGCCUUUCCACCAAUUAUGGGAUCUGAGUGGAACAUCUUAGUGCUUUUUGUGUCUAGCAUCACCGCUCUCUCUUUUACUCUCUCUCUCUCUCUGUGUGUGUGUCCUGUAGGUGUGGAUGUGCUACCUCCUGUUAACUCUUUUCAGAUGAUCCCAUAAAGGUUUAAAAUAUUUGUUUAUAAACAUACUGAAUCUGCAUAAUUAUUCAAAGAUACAGGAUUAUUUAAUUGUUGUUUAGAAUUUUUAGCUAUGUACCCAAAGUAAGACUAUAUGUGUCCACGAAGGCCUACAUUUGGACACUUUCUACACCAUCAAGCUCAUUCUUACAACACUUUAAAAAAAAAUCUGAGUUUUGGUUCUACAGAACAAAGACACGAGGGUAA